UGACUGGGGCGGUCUCCUCCUAAAGAGUAACGGAGGAGCACGAAGGUUGGCUAAUCCUGGUCGGACAUCAGGAGGUUAGUGCAAUGGCAUAAGCCAGCUUGACUGCGAGCGUGACGGCGCGAGCAGGUGCGAAAGCAGGUCAUAGUGAUCCGGUGGUUCUGAAUGGAAGGGCCAUCGCUCAACGGAUAAAAGGUACUCCGGGGAUAACAGGCUGAUACCGCCCAAGAGUUCAUAUCGACGGCGGUGUUUGGCACCUCGAUGUCGGCUCAUCACAUCCUGGGGCUGAAGUAGGUCCCAAGGGUAUGGCUGUUCGCCAUUUAAAGUGGUACGCGAGCUGGGUUUAGAACGUCGUGAGACAGUUCGGUCCCUAUCUGCCGUGGGCGCUGGAGAACUGAGGGGGGCUGCUCCUAGUACGAGAGGACCGGAGUGGACGCAUCACUGGUGUUCGGGUUGUCAUGCCAAUGGCACUGCCCGGUAGCUAAAUGCGGAAGAGAUAAGUGCUGAAAGCAUCUAAGCACGAAACUUGCCCCGAGAUGAGUUCUCCCUGAGACUUAAAGUCUCCUGAAGGAACGUUGAAGACGACGACGUUGAUAGGCCGGGUGUGUAAGCGCAGCGAUGCGUUGAGCUAACCGGUACUAAUGAACCGUGAGGCUUAACCUUACAACGCCGAAG
Molecule: ribosomal RNA, 672 nt
Filed under: Salmonella enterica subsp. enterica serovar Senftenberg
Lineage: Bacteria; Pseudomonadati; Pseudomonadota; Gammaproteobacteria; Enterobacterales; Enterobacteriaceae
Also listed under: 1 other name
Description: partial 23S ribosomal RNA
Rfam family: Bacterial large subunit ribosomal RNA
Source: RNAcentral